This 416-nucleotide ribosomal RNA is filed under the name Lactobacillus crispatus. Its description in RNAcentral is "bacterial SSU rRNA". It matches the Rfam family "Bacterial small subunit ribosomal RNA", at positions 378 to 786 of the family's 1533-position model. Lineage: Bacteria; Bacillati; Bacillota; Bacilli; Lactobacillales; Lactobacillaceae. The record is from RNAcentral.
GAUGUCUGAUGGAGCAACGCCGCGUGAGUGAAGAAGGUUUUCGGAUCGUAAAGCUCUGUUGUUGGUGAAGAAGGAUAGAGGUAGUAACUGGCCUUUAUUUGACGGUAAUCAACCAGAAAGUCACGGCUAACUACGUGCCAGCAGCCGCGGUAAUACGUAGGUGGCAAGCGUUGUCCGGAUUUAUUGGGCGUAAAGCGAGCGCAGGCGGAAGAAUAAGUCUGAUGUGAAAGCCCUCGGCUUAACCGAGGAACUGCAUCGGAAACUGUUUUUCUUGAGUGCAGAAGAGGAGAGUGGAACUCCAUGUGUAGCGGUGGAAUGCGUAGAUAUAUGGAAGAACACCAGUGGCGAAGGCGGCUCUCUGGUCUGCAACUGACGCUGAGGCUCGAAAGCAUGGGUAGCGAACAGGAUUAGAUACC